Triticum aestivum (bread wheat) is the source of this 114-nucleotide non-coding RNA. The record is from Rfam. NCBI's taxonomy places the organism in Eukaryota, Viridiplantae, Streptophyta, Magnoliopsida, Poales, Poaceae.
AUAAUACUCCCUCUGUCCUGAAUUACUUGUCAUCAAAAUGGAUGUGUCUAGACUAAAAUACAUCUAGAUACAUCCAUUUCAAUGACAAGUAUUUUCGGACGGAGGGAGUAGUAG